RNAcentral lists this ribosomal RNA (467 nucleotides) under uncultured bacterium. Its description in RNAcentral is "partial 16S ribosomal RNA". It matches the Rfam family "Bacterial small subunit ribosomal RNA", at positions 29 to 507 of the family's 1533-position model. The record is from RNAcentral.
ACGAACGCUGGCGGCGUCCUUAACACAUGCAAGUCGAACGGAAAGGCCCUGCUUUUGUGGGGUGCUCGAGUGGCGAACGGGUGAGUAACACGUGAGUAACCUGCCCUUGACUUUGGGAUAACUUCAGGAAACUGGGGCUAAUACCGGAUAGGAGCUCCUGCUGCAUGGUGGGGGUUGGAAAGUUUCGGCGGUUGGGGAUGGACUCGCGGCUUAUCAGCUUGUUGGUGGGGUAGUGGCUUACCAAGGCUUUGACGGGUAGCCGGCCUGAGAGGGUGACCGGCCACAUUGGGACUGAGAUACGGCCCAGACUCCUACGGGAGGCAGCAGUGGGGAAUAUUGCACAAUGGGCGGAAGCCUGAUGCAGCAACGCCGCGUGCGGGAUGACGGCCUUCGGGUUGUAAACCGCUUUCGCCUGUGACGAAGCGUGAGUGACGGUAAUGGGUAAAGAAGCACCGGCUAACUACGUG